CCUACGGGGGGCUGCAGUGGGGAAUAUUGCGCAAUGGGCGAAAGCCUGACGCAGCAACGCCGCGUGAGUGAAGAAGGCCUUCGGGUUGUAAAGCUCUUUCGGCCGGGAAGAAGGGUGUAUGGGCUAAUACCCUGUGCAUUUGAUGGUACCGGAAGAAGAAGCACCGGCAAACUUCGUGCCAGCAGCCGCGGUAAUACGAAGGGUGCAAGCGUUGUUCGGAAUUACUGGGCGUAAAGGGUUCGUAGGCGGGACUGAAAGUCGAAUGUGAAAACCCC
This 275-nucleotide ribosomal RNA is filed under the name uncultured bacterium. RNAcentral describes it as "partial 16S ribosomal RNA". It matches the Rfam family "Bacterial small subunit ribosomal RNA", at positions 338 to 604 of the family's 1533-position model. The record is from RNAcentral.